GACGAACGCUGGCGGCGUGCUUAACACAUGCAAGUCGAACGGAAAGGCCCUGCUUUUGUGGGGUGCUCGAGUGGCGAACGGGUGAGUAACACGUGAGUAACCUGCCCUUGACUUUGGGAUAACUUCAGGAAACUGGGGCUAAUACCGGAUAGGAGCUCCUGCUGCAUGGUGGGGGUUGGAAAGUUUCGGCGGUUGGGGAUGGACUCGCGGCUUAUCAGCUUGUUGGUGGGGGAGUGGCUUACCAAGGCUUUGACGGGUAGCCGGCCUGAGAGGGUGACCGGCCACAUUGGGACUGAGAUACGGACCAGACUCCUACGGGAGGCAGCAGUGGGGAAUAUUGCACAAUGGGCGGAAGCCUGAUGCAGCGACGCCGCGUGCGGGAUGACGGCCUUCGGGUUGUAAACCGCUUUCGCCUGUGACGAAGCGUGAGUGACGGUAAUGGGUAAAGAAGCACCGGCUAACUACGUG
RNAcentral lists this ribosomal RNA (468 nucleotides) under uncultured bacterium. Its description in RNAcentral is "partial 16S ribosomal RNA". It matches the Rfam family "Bacterial small subunit ribosomal RNA", at positions 28 to 507 of the family's 1533-position model. The record is from RNAcentral.